This 21-nucleotide ribosomal RNA is filed under the name Emericellopsis sp. s006. RNAcentral's name for it is "partial 28S ribosomal RNA". Lineage: Eukaryota; Fungi; Ascomycota; Sordariomycetes; Hypocreales; Bionectriaceae. The record is from RNAcentral.
GUGACCUCAGAUCAGGUAGAA